UACGGAGGGAGCUAGCGUUGUUCGGAAUUACUGGGCGUAAAGCGCACGUAGGCGGCUUUCUAAGUCAGAGGUGAAAUCCCGGGGCUCAACUCCGGAACUGCCUUUGAAACUGGAGAGCUAGAAUCUUGGAGAGGCGAGUGGAAUUCCGAGUGUAGAGGUGAAAUUCGUAGAUAUUCGGAAGAACACCAGUGGCGAAGGCGACUCGCUGGACAAGUAUUGACGCUGAGGUGCGAAAGCGUGGGGAGCAAACAGG
Molecule: ribosomal RNA, 253 nt
Filed under: uncultured bacterium
Lineage: Bacteria
Description: partial 16S ribosomal RNA
Rfam family: Bacterial small subunit ribosomal RNA
Source: RNAcentral